This 37-nucleotide ribosomal RNA is filed under the name Pichia ethanolica. RNAcentral's name for it is "[Candida] ethanolica partial 18S ribosomal RNA". The record is from RNAcentral. Lineage: Eukaryota; Fungi; Ascomycota; Pichiomycetes; Pichiales; Pichiaceae.
GAUCCUUCCGUAAGGUGAACCUGCGGAAGGAUCAUUA